RNAcentral lists this ribosomal RNA (420 nucleotides) under Triticum aestivum (bread wheat). Its description in RNAcentral is "partial small subunit ribosomal RNA". The stretch from base 27 to 134 matches the Rfam family "mir-166 microRNA precursor family". The record is from RNAcentral. Lineage: Eukaryota; Viridiplantae; Streptophyta; Magnoliopsida; Poales; Poaceae.
AUGAGAGGAUAUGAAGCUAUUUUGCUUCUGGGUGGAAUGUUGUCUGGUUCAAGGUCUCGCUCUGGUUUGAGGAUGGAAAACUUUCAUUUCUCUCAGCUUCCUGCGAUCUCGGACCAGGCUUCAUUCCCCUCAGAGAUAGCUUCAACCAUGAGAUCUAGAUAUAGUAGCCAGCCAAGAUUGUUGAUGUUUGUUUCCUGUUCUUCCCCUUUUCUUCUUGCACUUCACAGUGCUUUAUUUGUUUCUUGCGUAUGUUUGGUGAGGACCGAGGUUGCUCUCACACUUCCGCUGCGUUUUUUGUUUGUUUGUUUACGUUUAGUCGGAACGGAGGAAGUUCUUACACACUUGACUGCACUAUUUUUGUCCGUCUGUUGGGAGAACCGAGAAAGGUUGAAGAUUGCUGUAAUGAUGGCUUGGCUUUGA